This 75-nucleotide transfer RNA is filed under the name Arenimonas sp. RNAcentral's name for it is "tRNA-Arg". Lineage: Bacteria; Pseudomonadati; Pseudomonadota; Gammaproteobacteria; Lysobacterales; Lysobacteraceae. The record is from RNAcentral.
GAUCCUAUAAAAUCAAUUGCUAGACCCACAUUCCUAAUCUGGGGGUCGCGCGUUCGAAUCGCGCCGGGAUCACCA